This is a long non-coding RNA of Homo sapiens (human), 3249 nucleotides long. RefSeq lists it as uncharacterized. The record is from RefSeq and is a predicted model, not a curated record. The transcript has 3 exons. Lineage: Eukaryota; Metazoa; Chordata; Mammalia; Primates; Hominidae.
UAUCAUGCCAAGACAUUAUACAGUAGGUGGUGUUAACAUAGGAAGCCUUUAUCAUGAGAAGCCAUAACUCCUACGGUGCAUAAGAGUAAGACACUCCCUUUCAACUUUUCCUCUCCAUGGCAGAAGUAUGGAAGAACCUCAAAAGUUUCAUGAGCUCUGGAGAAGACAGCUAUAACUCCAAAAGUGAGAGAAAGUAGAAGACAUGCCAGUGCUCAAAAGCUACAAAUGUAACCAGAGCCGUGGCAUAAAAUGAAAUACUUCUGGUUCAUAUACUUCCACUGAGCAGCAUUGCAUUUUAUACACUUCUUCUUUAAUGGUUCAGACAUAUAGUUCUUAACAUCACAUGGAGACUCAUAACCUUCAGAAUACAGCAUGAAUCAGCUGGCUGCACUGCAAAGAGAAUACAAAAUACCAUCAAGAAUGUCCUAACUGGAACAGUAAACUUUUAAAGUACAAACAACUCAUCUGUUAGCAGCCUGGCAUUUUGCUUUCUGGAAAGUAAAUACAUUAGAGAGAUAUCUUUAAAGAGAGUCUAUUACCUGUGUAAGUCAGCAAUUUUCAAUCAUGACUGUAGCAGAUCCAGGUGAGAGACACUGCGACCUGGCCUUAUAGCAGGACCAAUAAGCAUAAGCAAUCCCUUGGUCCUAAGAUGAAGACUUACUAAUCAUUAGUUCUUGAAUCUAUAACUUCCUUAGGUUAGGUCAGAUUUGUCCUCGCUUACUCAGCUUAUGGGGCGUGGAUUCUUAUAUAGCCAGUCUAUAGAGAGAGUAUCAAUAAAGUCAUAAAUCUGGGGGAAAAAAAAGUCCUCAUUAUCGCACCUGUCUGGUUUUUCAAAAUCUUGCCUAAGGUGGUCUGGUUUGCUGAAGGGUGCUCCAGGAAGUGCAGUCUCCAGGUGUAACAGCCUCCCAAAGAAACAGUCUCUGUUUUGGCUGGAGGAAAUUGUUGAUUUUCCUCUGAAGCCUGGAAUCAGCAGUUCUCUGCUGCUAAAACUCCUGCAGGGUUUUAGGGGCAAGUAGCUACUUUAGAAUUGAGCAGAUGGGGUAAAGGAGAUAAGGAAAUGUAGUUUAGAGAGACUUCCCACGAGAAGGCAUCCUUUUCAUUCCUUAAACUUCCCACCACCACCUCACACACAAGUGAAAAACGGGUGCAGAAGAAUAUACGGGGGAAAAACGGUAAGCUUGGGCAAAGUUCCCUGCAGAGGGAGAAGAAAAAAUAGGAUGAGACUUAAGAAUUUUAUAGUCCUAAACACUGGAAAAAUUAUGGCGAAUUCUUCCCUGCCCCCAAUAAUUAUCAUGUGAAUCAUUUUGAUCUUUAUUUGUUAACAGUAAUAUAUAAAACAUAAUACUUUUUCCAAACAAUUUUGGAUACCAUCAUUUUAUGGUUGUACUAAGGACAGCUAGUCCCCUACAGGAGUCAGAGACUUUAGGAAGUAUUUAAGACCUAAUUCUAUGGUUAUCUUCUCAAAAUAUAGGAUUCCUGGGAGCUAUGACAGGUAAUCUAGCAAAGUGAACUUAUCAGUUAAACUUAAUAGUUAAUUGGCCAGGCACAGUGGCUCACGCCUGUAAUCCUAGCACUUUUGGAGGCCGAGGCAGGAAGAUUACUUGAAGUUAGCAGUUUGAAACCAGACUGGCCAACAUGGUGAAACCCUGUCUCUACUAAAAAUACAAAAAAAAAAUUAGCCAGGCGUGGUGGUACAUGCCUGUAAUCCCAGCUACUCGGGAGGCUGAGGCAGGAGAAUCGGUUGAGCCUGGGAGGUGGAGGUUGCAGUGAGCUGAGACCACCCCAGAGCACUCCAGCCUGGAUGGCGACAGAGCAAGACUCCGUCUAAAACAGAAAAAAAAAAAAAAAAAAAAAAGCUUAAUAGUUAAUUUAUCCAUUAAACUUAAAUUAUCAACUAAGGACACUAUAAGUGCUUUUCAUAUGGCUGCACAAGAUAUUGCAACUGAUACCAAGGUGAGUAAAGCAGCAGUCCCUACCUUCGAAGGGUUAGUUGCCUGUUUAGAAAUUUUUAUUAUGGUUUUAAAGUGAGGAUAAGCUGCAGAAAGGCAUUUUAAGUACAAAAAUAAUUGUAGGUCACACAGGAAUCUAAUUUAUAAAAGAAAAGGGAGCAUCUGGAGGAUUCAGAAGAGGGAAAGCAGACACCUGGUUGGAUGGAGUAAGAAAAGACUAUAAAUGGGAAGGAUUUCUGAAAAGACUUAAGACUUGAAGGAUGGCAUGUGUUUUGUCAAAAGAAAACAGAAAUGAGGGAAGUUGUAUGUAAAAGAACAGCAUAACCAAGAGCAUUCAUGUCAUCAUUAUCAUCAUCAUAACUGACAUUUACUGAAUACUUAAUUUGUAUGAGGCUUUGUGCUAAAUCUUUAACGUGUUAAAUCCUGUAAUCUUCAUAAUCACACUACAAAGUCAAGUCUAUUAUUAUUCCCAGUUUACAGAAGAGAAAACUGAUACUCUGGUUAAUUGCCCAGGGCCAUAUAGCUAAAAGCAGUGCAAUCUGAAAUUGACCAAGAUUCAGGUAACCAUGAGAAAUCUAGUGUGAAUAGAACAUUUAGCAUACACAUCAAUAAAUAAAAAGACUAAGUCUAGAAAUGCAGAUCAGGAUUUCCCAAGGCUCCAUAUGCUGGAUUAAAGGUUUCAUGCUUAGUUGACAGGCAAUGGGCAGCCAUUGCAGGGUUAUGAGCAGGUUUUUACGUUACCCAAUCUGUCAACACAUGGAGUGGAGACAUCAUGGAGGGGAGAGGUCUAGGGAUACAGUGAGACCAAGAAGUCCUCUCAAGUUUUUCAGGUAAGAAGCAAACUUAGAGUGAAAUUUUUGUUAAUGAAAUGAGGUAAGAGAUAGGAGAAACACAAAAGGUCAAAUCUACAGAACUCGUCAACUAAUGGAUUGAGUGCUGGAAGUGUUACAGAAAAUAAGAAGUCUGCAACAACUUGGAGAGCUGGGGUCUUGCCGCUGAACUGAUGGUUUCAUAAACAGAAAUUUGUAAGUUAAGAUUGUUGAAAAGAAGAUAAUGCCUAUGCAGUGCUCUUUUUGCUGCUCUUCCUCUUUGCUCUUCCUCUUCCUCCUCCUCAUCAUCAUCAUCACCAUUACCAUAGUCACAGUUUACAAGUAGAUGGCAUUUCAUCUAUGCCAGGCAUCAUUCCAAGCCUUUUACACAUAGUAACUAACACUAAAUGAAAGCCCAUAAGGUACAUACUAAUAAUAUUGUCAUUUUAUAAAUGAGAAAAUAUUUAGAGAUAGAGGUUAAGUGACUUGUC